CAGCCGCCGCGGUAAUACCGGCGGCCCGAGUGGCGGCCACUAUUAUUGGGCCUAAAGCGUCCGUAGCCGGGCUGGUAAGUCCCCCGGGAAAUCUGGCGGCUUAACCGUCAGAAUUCCGGGGGAUACUGCCAGCCUAGGGACCGGGAGAGGCCGGGGGUAUUCCCGGGGUAGGGGUGAAAUCCUGUAAUCCCGGGAGGACCACCUGUGGCGAAGGCGCCCGGCUGGAACGGGUCCGACGGUGAGGGACGAAGGCCAGGGGAGCGAACCGGAUUAGAUACCCGGGUAGUCCCAGCAGUAAACGAUGCCAGCUAUGUGUUGCUGAAACCAUGGGUUCCAGCAGUGCCGAAGGGAAGCCGUGAAGCUGGCCACCUGGGAAGUACGGUCGCAAGGCUGAAACUUAAAGGAAUUGGCGGG
This 414-nucleotide ribosomal RNA is filed under the name uncultured microorganism. RNAcentral describes it as "bacterial SSU rRNA". It matches the Rfam family "Archaeal small subunit ribosomal RNA", at positions 459 to 872 of the family's 1478-position model. The record is from RNAcentral.